AGUGAUCCGGGGACGUUGAACCGCCACCUUCAUGUGGUCACUUGGGUGGCGGGGAGUCAAUAGUGAAACCGACCCAGAAAGCG
RNAcentral lists this non-coding RNA (83 nucleotides) under Chloroflexota bacterium. Its description in RNAcentral is "Chloroflexi bacterium c-di-GMP-II sequence". It matches the Rfam family "Cyclic di-GMP-II riboswitch aptamer". Lineage: Bacteria; Bacillati; Chloroflexota. The record is from RNAcentral.